UACGAAGGGGGCUAGCGUUGUUCGGAAUCACUGGGCGUAAAGCGCACGUAGGCGGAUUCUUAAGUCAGGGGUGAAAUUCCGGGGCUCAACCUCGGAACUGCCUUUGAUACUGGGGAUCUUGAGUUCGGGAGAGGUGAGUGGAACUGCGAGUGUAGAGGUGAAAUUCGUAGAUAUUCGCAAGAACACCAGUGGCGAAGGCGGCUCACUGGCCCGAUACUGACGCUGAGGCACGAAAGCGUGGGGAGCAAACAGG
Molecule: ribosomal RNA, 253 nt
Filed under: uncultured bacterium
Lineage: Bacteria
Description: partial 16S ribosomal RNA
Rfam family: Bacterial small subunit ribosomal RNA
Source: RNAcentral